RNAcentral lists this unclassified non-coding RNA (1491 nucleotides) under Octopus sinensis (East Asian common octopus). Its description in RNAcentral is "zinc finger protein 32-like, transcript variant X1". The record is from RNAcentral. Lineage: Eukaryota; Metazoa; Mollusca; Cephalopoda; Octopoda; Octopodidae.
UAUAUAAAAAUGUAGUAAAACUUUCACUGUUUUAAUCUCUCUAAUUCCUAAUUAUCUUGUAUGUUUUACACUGUUGUUUCUCUUUCGUUUCAGAUUAUCAGAUGACAUCUGCUUCACAGGAUUUUUACAUAAGCAACGUCAUUAGAAUGGAAAGUCUUUUGAAGACUGAGCAAAGAUGUUAUACAAAACACGUAUAACCCUGUUUCUAUGAAUAUUUACUGAAUUACUGCAAAAUAUAUCUGGGGAACUCUGACAUAUAUGUAGCAAAAUUUCUCUUCUUUAUUGUCUGGAAUACACAGAAAAUUAUAUUUGCAUAUUAAUUAAUCAUUUAGCAUUUAAACUAGCACAAAUAUUCUGACCUCUCACACUCACCAUGCAGUGUCAAUUUAAACAUAAACAAUCAAAUCACUGAAGUCUCAAAGCUAUGAGAUAAUCCAUGAUUAAUUCAAAACAAUAUGAAUAAAUAAGCAUUACAUUUCACAAAGGAAUCUCAAUGCUAAACGGUUAAACUGGCCAUAUUUUUGUGUGUUUUAUAUUCAUACUAGCCAGAUCCCACCCCUCACACCCACCCUACAAGGUCAUUCUAAAAAUAAACAAUCACUACAUUGAAAUCUGAACAUGAUAGCAUAAUGAAUGAUUAAUUCAGAAGAAUUUCAAUAAACAUUCUAUUUGACAAAGUAAUCUGAAUGUUAAUGAGUUAAAGCAAUUAAGAAGGCAGUUUGCAGCAUCUUCAGAUAUUAACAAAGAACACUUUUCAUGGAGAUAUAUCAGUAGAAAUAUUUGUUCAGAGCAAUAUACGAGAAGAAGGAAAACCUUUGUGACCUGUGACAAGAGAAAGGAACAUUAUGGAAAAUGAAUUAUUUAGGAGUGAAGUUGAAUGUAAAAGAGAGUCUGAAGAAAUUGAUUUUUCUGAUGAGGAAAAGAAUGAAAAGGGCAAAACAUCAUAUGAUUGUGAUAUCUGUGGCAAGUUGUUCUCUCGGAAAGCUAAGUUAGUCAUUCACGAACGUACUCAUACAGGAGAAAAACCAUAUCACUGUGAUAUCUGUGGUAAAUCAUUCGCUCAGAAAGGUAACUUGACUACUCACCAACGUAUUCAUACAGGAGGGAAGCCAUAUCGCUCUGAUAUCUGUGGUAAGUCAUUGUCACAAGAUAGUGAUUUAACAAGACACAAGCAGAUUCAUUCAAGAGGAAAAUAUUUGUACUGUGACAUCUGUGGUAAAUCAUUCUUGCGGAAAGAUAACUUAGUCAUCCACCAACGUAUUCAUACAGGUGAGAAGCCAUAUCAUUGUGACAUUUGGCAAAUGAUUUACUCAUAAAAGCAGCUUAACUUCUAACAAGAGCAUUCAUAUGACAGACAAACCGCUCCAGUGGUCUGUCAUCGUUGUUUUCAAGAGCAAAGGAAUGCUUCUCAGUAAACAACUCUAGACUUUUUUCUUUGCUUGUGAAUAAGUGGUCACGUCUACAAAUGAUGGUGUCCCUGAGUCUUUUCAA